This 232-nucleotide long non-coding RNA is filed under the name Solanum tuberosum (potato). Its description in RNAcentral is "long non-coding RNA (STUB_LNC005571)". Lineage: Eukaryota; Viridiplantae; Streptophyta; Magnoliopsida; Solanales; Solanaceae. The record is from RNAcentral.
UCAUACACUACAAAUAGAUUACAUCUAUGCUCAGUUCCUAGAAUAAGAGGCGACGACUUUGCCCAUUGAUCGCAAUCUUACUCCAUAAAAUUAUGAAUAUCAGCCUCACCAUAUGAAUUUAUUCAUAUAAGCACUCAUGUCUCAUAAUAUGCCCAGUCUCGCGAAUUAAUGAUUUAUCCUCAGUGGCUAGUGAUAUAAUGUUAUGUCAUGCAUAUUCUUAUAUCAGAUUUCU